Long non-coding RNA from Alosa alosa (allis shad), 292 nucleotides. RefSeq lists it as uncharacterized. Lineage: Eukaryota; Metazoa; Chordata; Actinopteri; Clupeiformes; Clupeidae. The record is from RefSeq and is a predicted model, not a curated record. The transcript is spliced from 3 exons.
CAAUGACAGCCUGUUACAGCGUGUCAUUUGACGAACUAGUAAAAAGAUAUCAACCCAGCUUCCAUCCAGCUUGGAGGGACAUUUCAAGAUGCAAGCAAGAACGAGCAAACAACUCUCUAAAUUUAGAGAGAGGAGUUCGACCUGGGCGGAGGCCACUAGGAGAAAUCGCAACGUCUCCCAUGUGGUCAAUGAUGCACAUAUCAUGAUGCUUUGGGGGGUGAGAGGCCAUACGUUGACCCUGAUAUCAGUGGCACACAUUGCCGGAUGGCAAUUGGCCGUCUGAUAAAAGAAC